UCCGUCCCGUGGCGUGGGAGGUGAUCGCC
This 29-nucleotide non-coding RNA is filed under the name Homo sapiens (human). The record is from RNAcentral. Lineage: Eukaryota; Metazoa; Chordata; Mammalia; Primates; Hominidae.